Non-coding RNA from Caerostris darwini, 119 nucleotides. The record is from the annotation of a GenBank genome assembly. NCBI's taxonomy places the organism in Eukaryota, Metazoa, Arthropoda, Arachnida, Araneae, Araneidae.
ACGUCCAUACCAUGCUGAAUAUGCCGGUUCUCGUUAGAUCACCGAAGUCAAGCAUCAUUGGGCGCGGUCAGUACUUGGGCAGGGUACCUGGAACAGUACCUGGGAACACCGCGUGGCGU